This 449-nucleotide ribosomal RNA is filed under the name uncultured bacterium. Its description in RNAcentral is "partial 16S ribosomal RNA". It matches the Rfam family "Bacterial small subunit ribosomal RNA", at positions 28 to 523 of the family's 1533-position model. The record is from RNAcentral.
GGUGAACGCUGGCGGUGCGUCUAAUACAUGCAAGUCGAGCGAGGUUUCGAACCGAGCGGCAAACGGGUGAGUAACACGUUGGUAGCCCCCCCAGAUUCAGGGAUAACCCAGGGAAACCUGGGCUAAUACCGGAUGGUCCCGAAAGGGUAAAGCUUUUGCGAUCUGGGAGGUGCCUGCGUCCUAUCAGGUAGUUGGUGAGGUAAUGGCUCACCAAGCCGAUGACGGGUAGCUGGUCUGAGAGGAUGGCCAGCCACAGUGGGACUGAGACACGGCCCACACUCCUACGGGAGGCAGCAGUAAAGAAUCUUGCGCAAUGGACGAAAGUCUGACGCAGCGACACCGCGUGGUGGAUGACGCCCUUCGGGGUGUAAACACCUUUUCACCGGGGACGAUAAUGACGGUACCCGGAGAAGAAGCCCCGGCUAACUUCGUGCCAGCCGCCGCCGUAA